Molecule: long non-coding RNA, 232 nt
Organism: Anopheles arabiensis
Lineage: Eukaryota; Metazoa; Arthropoda; Insecta; Diptera; Culicidae
Exons: 2
Source: RefSeq, a predicted model, not a curated record
AAUGAGCUACGCCGGCAACCACGGUACCAAGGGGUUUGGAAAUUGGGAGCUCAUCAGCCCCCAUUCGGAGCUGAACCGUGCCAACCGUGAUGAAAAAUGAUCGCCGCGUGCAGGUGUGACGUCGAAAUGAAAGGGAAUGCCAUGAAACCGGAGACCGGUGUAGCAGCAGCAACAACAGCAAAAAACUGAUGUAAGUAAAGCAGAUCUUGAAUCAUAAAAAGCGCAAAUGCUA